GGGAUAUUGGACAAUGGGCGCAAGCCUGAUCCAGCCAUGCCGCGUGAGUGAAGAAGGCCCUCGGGUUGUAAAGCUCUUUUGUCCGGAAAGAAAAGCAUCGGGUUAAUACCCCGGUGUUCUGACGGUACCGGAAGAAUAAGCACCGGCUAACUUCGUGCCAGCAGCCGCGGUAAUACGAAGGGUGCAAGCGUUACUCGGAAUUACUGGGCGUAAAGCGUGCGUAGGUGGUUCGUCAAGUCUGAUGUGAAAGCCCUGGGCUCAACCUGGGAAUGGCAUUGGAAACUGGCGGACUGGAGUGCGGUAGAGGGUAGCGGAAUUCCCGGUGUAGCAGUGAAAUGCGUAGAGAUCGGGAGGAACAUCCGUGGCGAAGGCGGCUACCUGGACCAGCACUGACACUGAGGCACGAAAGCGUGGGGAGCAAACA
RNAcentral lists this ribosomal RNA (424 nucleotides) under uncultured bacterium. RNAcentral's name for it is "bacterial SSU rRNA". It matches the Rfam family "Bacterial small subunit ribosomal RNA", at positions 358 to 774 of the family's 1533-position model. The record is from RNAcentral.